Molecule: ribosomal RNA, 251 nt
Filed under: uncultured Bartonella sp.
Lineage: Bacteria; Pseudomonadati; Pseudomonadota; Alphaproteobacteria; Hyphomicrobiales; Bartonellaceae
Description: partial 16S ribosomal RNA
Rfam family: Bacterial small subunit ribosomal RNA
Source: RNAcentral
UACGAAGGGGGCUAGCGUUGUUCGGAUUUACUGGGCGUAAAGCGCACGUAGGCGGAUAUUUAAGUCAGAAGUGAAAUCCCAGGGCUCAACCCUGGAACUGCCUUUGAUACUGGAUAUCUUGAGUAUGGAAGAGGUGAGUGGAAUUCCUGGUGUAGAGGUAAAAUUCGUAGAUAUUCGGAGGAACACCAGUGGCGAAGGCGGCUCACUGGUCCAUUACUGACGCUGAGGUGCGAAAGCGUGGGGAGCAAACA